AAGGAUCAUUACCAAAUACUGCUUGCUUGGAUGGAUUCGUCUGUUCUGCAAACAAACCCCCUCUGCGUACCUGUACCUGUUGCUUCCGUCAGCCAGUGGAUGCCUCUCGGGGCGUCCCCUCCGGUGCCUGAUCAGUUCAUGAUCGGCUGGGGAGUUGCUGGCGGUGAGCCCCAUACCAAACACGUGUCUUAUCUCUGCCUAGUCUGAGCUUUGAUGCUAAAAACAAAACAAGUUAAAACUUUCAACAACGGAUCUCUUGGUUCUC
RNAcentral lists this unclassified non-coding RNA (265 nucleotides) under uncultured fungus. RNAcentral describes it as "partial contains 18S rRNA, ITS1, 5.8S rRNA, ITS2 and 28S rRNA". Lineage: Eukaryota; Fungi. The record is from RNAcentral.